AGAACGAACGCUGGCGGCGUGCUUAACACAUGCAAGUCGAACGUGAUUCAGAGCUUGCUCUGAUGAAAGUGGCGCACGGGUGAGUAACGCGUGGAUAACCUGCCCUGGUAUCUGGGAUAACAUCUCGAAAGGGGUGCUAAUACCGGAUAAGCCUCCGGGAUCUUCGGAUUCUGCAGGAAAAGAGGCCUCUAUUUAUAAGCUUUCGAUCAGGAUGGGUCCGCGUACCAUUAGCUAAGUUGGUGGGUAAUGGCCUACCAAGGCGACGAUGGUUAGCUGGUCUGAGAGGAUGAUCAGCCACACUGGAACUGAGACGACGGUCCAGACUCCUACGGGAGGCAGCAGUGGGAAUUUGCGCAAGUGGGGAACCCUGACGCGAGCAACGCCGCGUGACGUGAUGAAGG
RNAcentral lists this ribosomal RNA (401 nucleotides) under uncultured soil bacterium. RNAcentral describes it as "bacterial SSU rRNA". It matches the Rfam family "Bacterial small subunit ribosomal RNA", at positions 26 to 414 of the family's 1533-position model. The record is from RNAcentral.